Molecule: long non-coding RNA, 557 nt
Filed under: Sus scrofa (pig)
Lineage: Eukaryota; Metazoa; Chordata; Mammalia; Artiodactyla; Suidae
Description: lncRNA (ENSSSCG00050032211.1)
Source: RNAcentral
GAUCCUUAACCCACUGUGCUGGGUCGGGAAUUGAACUGGUGCCUCCACAGAGACAAGCUGGAUCAUUAAUCCAUUGUGCCACAGCAGCAAUCCACAUUGGAUUUUCUUCGGGGCCCAAUGUUAUAUAUGAAAUCCUUUGCAAACUAUGAAGUAUAUUUGUGAGAUGGUUUUACUGGAAACAGUAGGACACUAGAAACAAAUACGCUAUAGCAAUAUCAGCCACGGGCAUAAUAGUUAGUGGUUAAUUGAUACUCUUUAAGUCCUGACACAACCACCAUGCUGAUGCAGAUACUCUUUAUUAGUACACAGGAAAAUCAGAUCAUUAUCUAAGGCCAACAAGCUCCUCCUUGAGAUGUUCUGCCAUAUAAUCUGGAGGAAAUACUGUAAGACUUUGUCAGCACUGAGUCAUUUGCACUGGGAGUCUUACCAGAAAAAAAAAAUCUUGUCUUCUCAGAAGGAAUACCCUUCCUGAGGCCAAGAUGUGUCCUCUGGAAAGAUACCCAUGACACAGACCACAGUGGACACCAACUCAGAUACUGAGGGAAGGUUCCACGACA